RNAcentral lists this ribosomal RNA (467 nucleotides) under Streptomyces sp. Its description in RNAcentral is "bacterial SSU rRNA". It matches the Rfam family "Bacterial small subunit ribosomal RNA", at positions 22 to 508 of the family's 1533-position model. The record is from RNAcentral. Lineage: Bacteria; Bacillati; Actinomycetota; Actinomycetes; Kitasatosporales; Streptomycetaceae.
GCUCAGGACGAACGCUGGCGGCGUGCUUAACACAUGCAAGUCGAACGAUGAAGCCCUUCGGGGUGGAUUAGUGGCGAACGGGUGAGUAACACGUGGGCAAUCUGCCCUUCACUCUGGGACAAGCCCUGGAAACGGGGUCUAAUACCGGAUACCACUCCUGCCUGCAUGGGCGGGGGUUGAAAGCUCCGGCGGUGAAGGAUGAGCCCGCGGCCUAUCAGCUUGUUGGUGGGGUAAUGGCCCACCAAGGCGACGACGGGUAGCCGGCCUGAGAGGGCGACCGGCCACACUGGGACUGAGACACGGCCCAGACUCCUACGGGAGGCAGCAGUGGGGAAUAUUGCACAAUGGGCGAAAGCCUGAUGCAGCGACGCCGCGUGAGGGAUGACGGCCUUCGGGUUGUAAACCUCUUCAGCAGGGAAGAAGGAAAGUGACGGUACCUGCAGAAGAAGCGCCGGCUAACUACGUGC